UUUUAGAUAAAUUCUGCUCAAUGCCAAAUUUAAAUAGCUGCAGUAAGUUAACUGUACUAAGGUAGCAUAAUAAAUUGCUUUAUAAUUGAAAGCUUGAAUGAAGGAAACAAUGAAAAACAAACUUUUUAAACUAAAAAAGUAAAAAUUAAUAUUUAAGUGAAAAAUCUUAAAUUAAAUCAAAAGACAAGAAGACCCUUUAGAACUUUACAAGUCGCAUCAUCUUAAAUGAGUUGUAUUGUUAAAUUGGGGAGAUUUUUAAAUAAAUAAAUCUUUAAAUAUACCGAAAUGAAAUACCUCAAAUUAAAUUAUCCACAGAUGAAAUAAAACAAGUUACCUAAGGGAUAACAGCGCAAAAUUUUUGAGAAGUUCCCAUUCACAAAAUAAAUUGCGACCUCGAUGUUGGAUUAAGAA
Molecule: ribosomal RNA, 411 nt
Filed under: Bemisia tabaci
Lineage: Eukaryota; Metazoa; Arthropoda; Insecta; Hemiptera; Aleyrodidae
Description: partial 16S ribosomal RNA
Source: RNAcentral